AUAUCAAUAAGCGGAGGAAAAGAAACUAACAAGGAUUCCCCUAGUAACUGCGAGUGAAGCGGGAAAAGCUCAAAUUUGAAAUCUGGCGGUUCUGCCGUCCGAGUUGUAUUCUGGAGAAGUGCCUUCCGUGCCGGACCGUGUACAAGUCCCUUGGAACAGGGCGUCAUAGAGGGUGAGAAUCCCGUCUUUGACACGGACUGCCGGUGCUCUGUGAUGCGCUCUCGAAGAGUCGAGUUGUUUGGGAAUGCAGCUCAAAACGGGUGGUAAAUUCCAUCUAAAGCUAAAUAUUGGCGAGAGACCGAUAGCGAACAAGUACCGUGAGGGAAAGAUGAAAAGCACUUUGGAAAGAGAGUAAAACAGUACGUGAAAUUGUUGAAAGGGAAACGCUUGAAGUCAGUCGCGUCUGCCGGAACUCAGCCUUGCUUCUGCUUGGUGCACUUUCCGGUUUGAUGGGCCAGCAUCGGUUUUGCGAGGCGGACACUGGCGGGUGGAAGGUGGCGGCUCCGGUCGCGUUAUAGCCUCCCGUCGCGAACGCCUUGUGGGACCGAGGAAUCCGGCGCAAGCCUGGGAUGCUGGCGUAAUGGCUUUAAACGA
RNAcentral lists this ribosomal RNA (594 nucleotides) under uncultured fungus. Its description in RNAcentral is "eukaryotic LSU rRNA". It matches the Rfam family "Eukaryotic large subunit ribosomal RNA", at positions 40 to 647 of the family's 3401-position model. Lineage: Eukaryota; Fungi. The record is from RNAcentral.